Molecule: ribosomal RNA, 644 nt
Filed under: Cortinarius traganus
Lineage: Eukaryota; Fungi; Basidiomycota; Agaricomycetes; Agaricales; Cortinariaceae
Description: eukaryotic LSU rRNA
Rfam family: Eukaryotic large subunit ribosomal RNA
Source: RNAcentral
GUGACCUCAAAUCAGGUAGGACUACCCGCUGAACUUAAGCAUAUCAAUAAGCGGAGGAAAAGAAACUAACAAGGAUUCCCCUAGUAACUGCGAGUGAAGCGGGAAAAGCUCAAAUUUAAAAUCUGGCAGUCUUUUGGCUGUCCGAGUUGUAAUCUAGAGAAGUGUUAUCCGCGCUGGACCAUGUACAAGUCUCCUGGAAUGGAGCAUCAUAGAGGGUGAGAAUCCCGUCUUUGACAUGGACUUCCAGGGCUUUGUGAUGCGCUCUCAAAGAGUCGAGUUGUUUGGGAAUGCAGCUCAAAAUGGGUGGUAAAUUCCAUCUAAAGCUAAAUAUUGGCGAGAGACCGAUAGCGAACAAGUACCGUGAGGGAAAGAUGAAAAGAACUUUGGAAAGAGAGUUAAACAGUACGUGAAAUUGCUGAAAGGGAAACGCUUGAAGUCAGUCGCGUCGUCCAGGGAUCAACCUUGCUUUUGCUUGGUGCACUUCCUGGUUUGAUGGGUCAGCAUCAAUUUUGACUAUUGGAAAAAGGUUAAGGGAAUGUGGCAUCUUUGGAUGUGUUUAUAGCCCUUGGUCACAUACAAUGGUUGGGAUUGAGGAACUCAGCACGCCGCAAGGCCGGGUUUAAACCACGUACGUGCUAGGAUGC